This 63-nucleotide transfer RNA is filed under the name Argas persicus. RNAcentral's name for it is "tRNA-Arg". Lineage: Eukaryota; Metazoa; Arthropoda; Arachnida; Ixodida; Argasidae. The record is from RNAcentral.
AAAAAAAGAAGCGACAUUCAUUGCAAUCAGUUUCGGCCUGAUCCUAGGAUCUACCCUUUUUUA